AGCCACGCAGCUGGGCCAGCAGGACCCGCAGUGGAGCCCAGGGUGCGACUGAGAGCCGCCUCCAAACGUGUGUGUGCGGUUGGGAUCACAUCUAAUGACUGAAUGGCCUGGGCUUGACACCCUCGCGGCAGGUGGACACGGCGUCUGACGUCAGCUCCCGCCCCCAUGACGUGAGCGAGUGUGUCCUAAAGAGCCUCCUGCCGCAUGGCCGUUGCUGAAACGCACCACGAAGGGCUGAAAUCACACCCUUUGAGGAACCAUGGCGGCGCUGAAGUUAAGGAUGCACCCUUCCCAGGCAUGGGGGACCGUCUUCAAAAAAGUAUCAGUUUAAUUUGCACCCAGAUGACAACCUCUCCAGUAAGCCCUGGACCCCAAAGACAGAGCCGGACAAGGACUCCCCAAGGCAGGCAGCGUGGCCCCUGCACAAACCAGUUUCCCUAUCUGGAGAGAACAAUGGACUGGCUAUCAGAGCUGGUUCUGGUUUUGCUCCAUUCUAAGAUGUGACUGAGGUGAGCCAGGACUGUCCACGCACUGACCAGCAAGCGAGCGUGAGGCCCACACCAUGUGGUCCCAGAGGCGGGCCUGGGAUGGCGUCUCCAAACUGUCAGGUUUCUCUGGCUCCAUCUUACUAGUUCCCUGUAUCAUUAUGCUAGUAUCAUUGAUGUGGAUGACGGUAUCUUCUAACUCACCGCUUUUCAGGUAACUGGAGACUUAUCGACCACUUUCCAGAAUCACCUUUUGAUCAAUAUGGGCGUGAAUGGAAUUGGGGGUCCAGCGGGGGAGCUGGUUAGAUGGUCCAUGAAAACACCAUGCAGGGAAGUCAGUGUGAACUAAAGGGGUUCACCCUCCUGCUCUCAGAUUUAUGUAUUUACUUAUACAAGAACCCGGGUACAGGCCAGAUGCGCAGGAGGGUGAGAGGAUUCACCAGAGACAGAACAGGGAACAGAACAGGCAGACUGAUGAACUACACUGCUGAGGGGAGCAGCAGGCACGACAGGAAAGGUCUGCCACGCCCAUGUGGGACCCUCUCUGGCCAGCCGGGAUCGAACCGACACUGCAGAGGCUGCAGACAGCUUCACAGUGCGGUGCUCAACUGCCUGUGCCACCAGGGGAGGCCCGGACAAAUCAUUU
Long non-coding RNA from Talpa occidentalis (Iberian mole), 1131 nucleotides. RefSeq lists it as uncharacterized. NCBI's taxonomy places the organism in Eukaryota, Metazoa, Chordata, Mammalia, Eulipotyphla, Talpidae. The record is from RefSeq and is a predicted model, not a curated record. The transcript has 4 exons.